Molecule: ribosomal RNA, 238 nt
Filed under: uncultured bacterium
Lineage: Bacteria
Description: partial 16S ribosomal RNA
Rfam family: Bacterial small subunit ribosomal RNA
Source: RNAcentral
UGAGGAACAUGACCUUCGGCGGGGGAUAGCCGGCCCAACGGCCGGGUAAUACCGCGUACGACCACUUUGGGACAUCCCUCGGUGGUGAAAGCAGCAAUGCGCCGAUGGAGUGCCUCGCGGCCUAUCAGCUAGUUGGUGAGGUAACGGCUCACCAAGGCGACGACGGGUANCUGGUCUGAGAGGAUGGCCAGCCACAUUGGGACUGAGACACGGCCCAGACCUCCGUACGGGGAGCCAG